GGAUGAACGCUAGCGACAGGCUUAACACAUGCAAGUCGAGGGGCAGCGGGGGUGAUGGCUUGCCAUCACCUGCCGGCGACUGGCGCACGGGUGAGUAACACGUAUGCAACCUGCCCGCCACAGGGGGAUAAGCGGAAGAAAUUCCGUCUAAUACCGCGUGACGCGGCGCCGGGGCAUCCCGGUGCCGCCAAAGGGAUUACCGGUGGCGGAUGGGCAUGCGGCGCAUUAGCUAGUCGGCGGGGUAACGGCCCACCGAGGCGACGAUGCGUAGGGGUUCUGAGAGGAGGGUCCCCCACACUGGUACUGAGACACGGACCAGACUCCUACGGGAGGCAGCAGUGAGGAAUAUUGGUCAAUGGGCGUGAGCCUGAACCAGCCAAGUCGCGUGAGGGAUGACGGUCCUACGGAUUGUAAACCUCUUUUGCCGGGGAGCAAGCGUGCGUUCGUGAACGCGCGUCGAGAGUACCCGGAGAAAAAGCAUCGGCUAACUCCGUGCCAGCAGCCGCGGUAAUACGGAGGAUGCGAGCGUUAUCCGGAUUUAUUGGGUUUAAAGGGUGCGUAGGCGGGAUGCCAAGUCAGCGGUAAAAAUGCGGUGCUCAACGCCGUCGAGCCGUUGAAACUGGCGUUCUUGAGUGGGCGAGAAGUAUGCGGAAUGCGUGGUGUAGCGGUGAAAUGCAUAGAUAUCACGCAGAACUCCGAUUGCGAAGGCAGCAUACCGGCGCCCUACUGACGCUGAGGCACGAAAGCGUGGGUAUCGAACAGGAUUAGAUACCCUGGUAGUCCACGCAGUAAACGAUGAAUGCUAACUGUCCGGCUCGAAUGAGCGCUGGGCGGUACAGCGAAAGCGUUAAGCAUUCCACCUGGGGAGUACGCCGGCAACGGUGAAACUCAAAGGAAUUGACGGGGGCCCGCACAAGCGGAGGAACAUGUGGUUUAAUUCGAUGAUACGCGAGGAACCUUACCCGGGCUCAAACGCAGGAUGACGGGUCCCGAAAGGGGUCUUUCUUCGGACAUUCUGCGAGGUGCUGCAUGGUUGUCGUCAGCUCGUGCCGUGAGGUGUCGGCUUAAGUGCCAUAACGAGCGCAACCCCUGUCCACAGUUGCCAGCAGGUAAAGCUGGGGACUCUGUGGAGACUGCCGGCGCAAGCUGCGAGGAAGGCGGGGAUGACGUCAAAUCAGCACGGCCCUUACGUCCGGGGCGACACACGUGUUACAAUGGCAGGUACAGCGGGAUGCCACGGGGCGACCCGGCGCUGAACCCGAAAACCUGUCUCAGUUCGGAUUGGAGUCUGCAACCCGACUCCAUGAAGCUGGAUUCGCUAGUAAUCGCGCAUCAGCCACGGCGCGGUGAAUACGUUCCCGGGCCUUGUACACACCGCCCGUCAAGCCAUGGAAGCCGGGGGUACCUGAAGUGCGUGACC
This 1420-nucleotide ribosomal RNA is filed under the name uncultured bacterium. RNAcentral describes it as "16S ribosomal RNA". It matches the Rfam family "Bacterial small subunit ribosomal RNA". The record is from RNAcentral.